Polistes dominula (European paper wasp) is the source of this 939-nucleotide long non-coding RNA. Lineage: Eukaryota; Metazoa; Arthropoda; Insecta; Hymenoptera; Vespidae. The record is from RefSeq and is a predicted model, not a curated record.
AUUAAUAAAAUUUACUGGUACAAGUGCAUUAUUAAUAAUUAGUUUUAUUUAAUACUAUAAUUAGAAGUGUUAUUAAAAGUGGUGUUUUGUUAUUAUAGCUCCUGAUUGUCCUUCGAAUUAUACUUCUGUUAAUAUUCUAAGUAUUCUGAAGAUCCAAUAAAAUAUGAAUCAGAUUCACAAGAUCAUGUAUCUAUAUGGACAAAACAAGCUCGGAAAAGAAUACAGGAAUAUGCUAGACUCUGGAGGGCUCGACAAAUCUUAGAUGCUAUAUCUUUUAUUAAUGAAUUAUUUGUUGAUAGCUCAGAAAUUGAAAUACUGAGUCUCGUUAAUGUCAUUGCAAGAAGAUUGAAAUUUUUAGGUGUCCCAGACACUUUGGAAAAGAAACAAAAUGAUAUUGGCCAUAAUGAGAACAAAUUAUUUCCGUUGAAUCAAAGACACGACGGUAUUUACCAUUGUUGUACAUUUUGUUCGAGUGGUGGGAAAAAAGAUGUUAUCUGUGCUUGCGGAGGAAGAAUGCCUGGUGGAUAUCAUGGAUGUGGACAUGGACAUGUUGGUCACCCUGGUUCUAACCAUUGGUCUUGUUGUGGAUCACUUUUACGAGAUGGACAUUGUUUAAUAACUCGAAGAUAUAAAUACCAGUUUUUACUAUAAUACUUACUGUACAUCCUGUCGAUAUGUGGUUGAAGAUGUUAGCUGCGAGUACUUCUAAUAGAUAAUAUUAUUACAUUAAUUAUUAUUAUCUAUGUUUUAUGUAAAUGUACAAAUACAUAUUAUUUUCAUUAUAAAUUUACAUAUAUACAUAUAUAAUUGUUAUGAAUAACAAUUUGCAAGUACUAAAAGCUAGGACAUUGCAUAACAGUACCUCAAAUGACAGUCUUAUAGUUAACGAUGAUAUUUUUUCAUCCUAUUGUUUAAAUCACAUGACAAUUUAUCAAAUAU